GUCUUUAGCUCAGUCGGUAGAGCAGCGGACUUUUAAUCCGUUGGUCGCGAGUUCGAAUCUCGCAGGAC
This 68-nucleotide transfer RNA is filed under the name Delftia acidovorans. It matches the Rfam family "tRNA". Rfam says of the family: Transfer RNA (tRNA) molecules are approximately 80 nucleotides in length. Their secondary structure includes four short double-helical elements and three loops (D, anti-codon, and T loops). Lineage: Bacteria; Pseudomonadati; Pseudomonadota; Betaproteobacteria; Burkholderiales; Comamonadaceae. The record is from RNAcentral. RNAcentral also lists the same sequence under 2 other names.